RNAcentral lists this ribosomal RNA (253 nucleotides) under uncultured bacterium. RNAcentral describes it as "partial 16S ribosomal RNA". It matches the Rfam family "Bacterial small subunit ribosomal RNA", at positions 524 to 776 of the family's 1533-position model. The record is from RNAcentral.
UACGAAGGGGGCUAGCGUUGCUCGGAAUCACUGGGCGUAAAGCGCACGUAGGCGGCUUCUUAAGUCAGGGGUGAAAUCCUGGAGCUCAACUCCAGAACUGCCUUUGAUACUGAGAAGCUUGAGUCCGGGAGAGGUGAGUGGAACUGCGAGUGUAGAGGUGAAAUUCGUAGAUAUUCGCAAGAACACCGGUGGCGAAGGCGGGUCUCUGGGCCGAUACUGACGCUGAGGCACGAAGGUCAGGGGAGCAAACGGG